UACAUCUAUAGAAAUGCGAGAUAUGAUG
RNAcentral lists this small RNA (28 nucleotides) under Bombyx mori (domestic silkworm). RNAcentral's name for it is "ovarian small RNA-20401". Lineage: Eukaryota; Metazoa; Arthropoda; Insecta; Lepidoptera; Bombycidae. The record is from RNAcentral.